RNAcentral lists this long non-coding RNA (402 nucleotides) under Homo sapiens (human). RNAcentral's name for it is "HSALNT0176641". Lineage: Eukaryota; Metazoa; Chordata; Mammalia; Primates; Hominidae. The record is from RNAcentral.
GUCCAUAGAAAAGAAAGAAUGAUCAGAAUGAGUGGAAGGAAAUCAAACACCACCAUGAGAAAGAAAAAAAAGCAAGAUACACUACCAGGAAAACGCAAAAAAAGGGUGACUGGAGACAACGGCAGGAGUUCAAACAUCUCUUGAUGUCAGAAACCAAGACACAAGACUUCACUCCCCCAGCAGAAGACAGAGAUGGUGUCAUAGAUGGUAUGUCUUGCCUAACAUGUCAGGAUUCCAGCAGAUUGAUGAUCAAGGACAGUGAUGAAGACCAGAACAAAAGGGAAAAGAAAAGACUCUAAACAGCCAAAACAUGCAUCUAACACCCGGGCAAUUAAGAAUUGUUAUUUUCUGGCUACUCUACACACACUGCCUAGAAGGUAGCCUUGCUCUAUAGGAGUCAUG